AGUGAACGCUGGCGGUAGGCCUAACACAUGCGAGUCGAACGGCAGCACAGUAAGAGCUUGCUCUUACGGGUGGCGAGUGGCGGACGGGUGAGGAAUACAUCGGAAUCUACUUUUUCGUGGGGGAUAACGUAGGGAAACUUACGCUAAUACCGCAUACGACCUACGGGUGAAAGCAGGGGAUCUUCGGACCUUGCGCGAUUGAAUGAGCCGAUGUCGGAUUAGCUAGUUGGCGGGGUAAAGGCCCACCAAGGCGACGAUCCGUAGCUGGUCUGAGAGGAUGAUCAGCCACACUGGAACUGAGACACGGUCCAGACUCCUACGGGAGGCAGCAGUGGGGAAUAUUGGACAAUGGGCGCAAGCCUGAUCCAGCCAUACCGCGUGGGUGAAGAAGGCCUUCGGGUUGUAAAGCCCUUUUGUUGGGAAAGAAAAGCAGCAGGUUAAUACCCCGCUGUUCCGACGGUACCCAAAGAAUAAGCACCGGCUAACUUCGUG
RNAcentral lists this ribosomal RNA (492 nucleotides) under uncultured bacterium. RNAcentral's name for it is "partial 16S ribosomal RNA". It matches the Rfam family "Bacterial small subunit ribosomal RNA", at positions 29 to 507 of the family's 1533-position model. The record is from RNAcentral.